CCUACGGGUGGCUGCAGCAACGAAUAUUCCGCAAUGGGCGAAAGCCUGACGGAGCGACGCCGCGUGCAGGAUGAAGUCCUUCGGGAUGUAAACUGCUGUCGGGGGUUAGAAACACAAUGAUCAGCCCCACAGGAAGCCACGGCUAACUCUGUGCCAGCAGCCGCGGUAAUACAGAGGUGGCAAGCGUUGUUCGGAAUCACUGGGCUUAAAGCGCGUGUAGGCGGGACGGAAGGUGUUUGGUGAAAUCCCCGGGCUCAACCCGGGAACUGCCGGGCAAACCAUCGUCCUUGAGGCAGGUAGAGGUGAUCGGAACCUUAGGUGGAGCGGUGAAAUGCGUAGAGAUCUAAGGGAACGCCGGUGGCGAAAGCGGAUCACUGGGCCUGUCCUGACGCUGAGACGCGAAAGCGUAGGGAGCAAACGGGAUUAGAUACCCUGGUAGU
RNAcentral lists this ribosomal RNA (440 nucleotides) under uncultured bacterium. Its description in RNAcentral is "bacterial SSU rRNA". It matches the Rfam family "Bacterial small subunit ribosomal RNA", at positions 338 to 794 of the family's 1533-position model. The record is from RNAcentral.